This 494-nucleotide ribosomal RNA is filed under the name uncultured bacterium. RNAcentral's name for it is "partial 16S ribosomal RNA". It matches the Rfam family "Bacterial small subunit ribosomal RNA", at positions 28 to 507 of the family's 1533-position model. The record is from RNAcentral.
GACGAACGCUGGCGGCGUGCCUAAUACAUGCAAGUAGAACGCUAACGGAGGAGCUUGCUUCUCUGGAUGAGUUGCGAACGGGUGAGUAACGCGUAGGUAACCUGCCUUGUAGCGGGGGAUAACUAUUGGAAACGAUAGCUAAUACCGCAUAAUAGUAGAUGUUGCAUGACAUUUACUUAAAAGUUGCACUUGCCUCACUACCAGAUGGCCCUGCGUUGUAUUAGCUAGUUGGUGGGGUAACGGCCCACCAAGGCGACGAACCAUAGCCGGCCUGAGAGGGGGUUCGCCAAAACUGGAACUGGAACACGCCCAGAACUCCUAGGGGGGGAACCGUAGGGAAAUUUUGGACAAUGAGGAAAGUCCUAAUGAAGAAAGCCGGGUGAGGGAAGAAGGGUUUCGGAUCGGUAAGGCCCGUUGUUAGAGAAGAAAGAGUGGGAGGGUGAAAAGUUGACAUUGUGACGGUACCUUAACAGAAAGGAACGGCUAACUACGUG